RNAcentral lists this ribosomal RNA (479 nucleotides) under uncultured Couchioplanes sp. Its description in RNAcentral is "bacterial SSU rRNA". It matches the Rfam family "Bacterial small subunit ribosomal RNA", at positions 39 to 525 of the family's 1533-position model. Lineage: Bacteria; Bacillati; Actinomycetota; Actinomycetes; Micromonosporales; Micromonosporaceae. The record is from RNAcentral.
CAGUUUAGGGGUGUUAAAGGGGGGGGCUACCAGCGAGUCGAGCGGAAGGCCCUUCGGGGUCUCGAGCGGCGAAGGGUGAGUAACACGUGAGUAACCUGCCCUGGACUUUGGGAUAACCCUCGGAAACGGGGGCUAAUACCGGAUACGACACGCCUUCGCAUGGGGUGCGUGUGGAAAGUUUUUCGGUCUGGGAUGGGCUCGCGGCCUAUCAGCUUGUUGGUGGGGUGAUGGCCUACCAAGGCGACGACGGGUAGCCGGCCUGAGAGGGCGACCGGCCACACUGGGACUGAGACACGGCCCAGACUCCUACGGGAGGCAGCAGUGGGAAUAUUGCACAAUGGGCGGAAGCCUGAUGCAGCGACGCCGCGUGAGGGAUGACGGCCUUCGGGUUGUAAACCUCUUUCAGCAGGGACGAAGCGUAAGUGACGGUACCUGUAGAAGAAGGACCGGCCAACUACGUGCCAGCAGCCGCGGUAAUA